ACUGUCGAAAUAACAGUCUCUGAUUACUUUUUGAGGUACAAAGGCACAUAGCUCCGGUAUUCUGGUAAUUUCACAUGUAUCCAUGCGGGGAGGUCAAAGCGUCCGACAUAUUUGACUUUGGAGCUUUGCACACUUGUUCCUCUGCAAAGAUACGACAAAGCUUUGUCAACUCUGCAAAUGCCCUCACUCGUCGAGAAAUCUAGAUUUUAGCUUGCUGCAGCAGUAUAUAACUUGUUAGCUUUAGUGUUUUUGGCAAUUAACUGAUGGUUCAUGCUACCCUAAAUGCAUGGCAGUUUAACGUAGAAACUAUGACUCGAACCCAUGCUGAUGGCACAUGGCAUUUCGAUUGCACCAAAGUUUAUUCAAAUUAAAUUGAGGGUCCUGCAAGCACCCAAGCUGAGGGCCUGUAACAGUCAAGAUAUUUUGCCACACAAUAGACGUUGGAAUCUUGUGAACAAGAAUUUCUUUCGGACCUGUUCUGUCAAGAGGUGGUCGGUUCCUUUCUGUGCACACUGUGAUGUUCGGGGUCUUGUCCGAGACCUCCAAAGGCUUACAUUAUUUUUGCCCAGAAAAACCAUCACACCAGAUUCUUUCUGACUGGAUCUCCAGAGAAUGUUCCUCCAGGUACUGUGGUGGAUAAGCAAGUCUGCCAUCGCAAGAAUUUUGACUUCUACAUGUGUGAACAUGCUGGCAUGAUUGAACCUCAGGGCCAACACAUUACCAUGUUCUUCAUGAUGAGAUCGGCUUCACUGCUGAUCCUCUUUAGGAAUUCGUGCAUUCCCUUACACGCUCCAAGUCCAUCUUCAAACCAAACUACUAAUGCUCAGAGAAGGGUUAUAGGCAAGGAGCAACCAUGCCAGGAC
This is a long non-coding RNA of Lolium rigidum, 863 nucleotides long. RefSeq lists it as uncharacterized. Lineage: Eukaryota; Viridiplantae; Streptophyta; Magnoliopsida; Poales; Poaceae. The transcript is spliced from 8 exons. The record is from RefSeq and is a predicted model, not a curated record.